AGAUACGGCCUGACACCAUACUUGUAGCGCUGUAUUUGUGAGCAGUGUUUGAAUGAAAGCAUGUUUUGUGUGUUUGAAUGUAUAUAUGUAUUUGUUUGCAGUGUUGGCAUUUGAAUGCAGUUCUAUGUUUGUAUGUACUGUUGCUAUUUGAAUGCCGUUGUGUACUUGUGUAGUGUUUGUGUUUAAAUGUGCUUGGAUGUAUGCACAUACUAUGCCCCGCAUAUACACACUGAAACAAACACACACAGAUGCACAUGUGUGCUCUCACACACACACACACACAACAUAUUCAUACAAAUAUCACAAAUUACAUAUUUUUAACCACGCCCUGCUUCCAUAUGUUUUUGAUGUAGGAGGGUGGCUUCACUGGGGUCCAGUAGCAUCUGUAUAAGUCUGAUGGGAGUCUGGUCCAGGCUCUCCCUGCUCCUGGCUGUUCUUUGUCCUCCAUCACGCCUUCUCUCGCACAGCUUGUUGGUAAGCUGAGAGGAAGUGACUUCACAUAAAGAAAACAUGCCCAUCGGGUGGCUGUAAGGGCAUGUGCCACCCAAUGGGCCCACCUGAGCUUGCAGGCCCCCUGCAGCCACAACGGCGG
Pelobates cultripes (western spadefoot toad) is the source of this 592-nucleotide non-coding RNA. NCBI's taxonomy places the organism in Eukaryota, Metazoa, Chordata, Amphibia, Anura, Pelobatidae. The record is from the annotation of a GenBank genome assembly.